RNAcentral lists this ribosomal RNA (449 nucleotides) under uncultured bacterium. RNAcentral's name for it is "bacterial SSU rRNA". It matches the Rfam family "Bacterial small subunit ribosomal RNA", at positions 354 to 796 of the family's 1533-position model. The record is from RNAcentral.
GUGGGGAAUAUUGGACAAUGGGCGAAAGCCUGAUCCAGCCAUGCCGCGUGUGUGAAGAAGGUCUUCGGAUUGUAAAGCACUUUAAGUUGGGAGGAAGGGCAGUAAGUUAAUACCUUGCUGUUUUGACGUUACCGACAGAAUAAGCACCGGCUAACUUCGUGCCAGCAGCCGCGGUAAUACGAAGGGUGCAAGCGUUAAUCGGAAUUACUGGGCGUAAAGCGCGCGUAGGUGGUUUUGUAAGUUGGAGGUGAAAUCCCCGGGCUCAACCUGGGAACUGCCUCCAAAACUGCAUGACUAGAGUACGGUAGAGGGUAGUGGAAUUUCCUGUGUAGCGGUGAAAUGCGUAGAUAUAGGAAGGAACACCAGUGGCGAAGGCGACUACCUGGACUGAUACUGACACUGAGGUGCGAAAGCGUGGGGAGCAAACAGGAUUAGAAACCCUUUAGUCC